RNAcentral lists this ribosomal RNA (370 nucleotides) under uncultured prokaryote. RNAcentral describes it as "bacterial SSU rRNA". It matches the Rfam family "Bacterial small subunit ribosomal RNA", at positions 524 to 896 of the family's 1533-position model. The record is from RNAcentral.
UACGUAGGGUGCGAGCGUUAAUCGGAAUUACUGGGCGUAAAGGGUGCGCAGGCGGAUAUAUAAGUUGGAUGUGAAAUCCCCGAGCUUAACUUGGGAAUGGCAUUCAAGACUGUAUAUCUAGAGUUUGUCAGAGGGGGGUAGAAUUCCAAGUGUAGCAGUGAAAUGCGUAGAGAUUUGGAGGAAUACCGGUGGCGAAGGCGGCCCCCUGGGAUAGAACUGACGCUCAGGCACGAAAGCGUGGGUAGCAAACAGGAUUAGAUACCCUGGUAGUCCACGCCCUAAACGAUGUCUACUUGCUGUUGGGGGUAAAACCUAAGUAGCGAAGCUAACGCGAGAAGUAGACCGCCUGGGGAGUACGGUCGCAAGAUUA